RNAcentral lists this ribosomal RNA (339 nucleotides) under uncultured bacterium. RNAcentral describes it as "bacterial SSU rRNA". It matches the Rfam family "Bacterial small subunit ribosomal RNA", at positions 458 to 793 of the family's 1533-position model. The record is from RNAcentral.
ACCUGCACUAUUUGACGUUACCUACAGAAGAAGCACCGGCUAACUCCGUGCCAGCAGCCGCGGUAAUACGGAGGGUGCGAGCGUUAAUCGGAAUUACUGGGCGUAAAGCGCAUGCAGGCGGCCUGUUAAGUCAGAUGUGAAAGACCCGGGGCGUUAACCUCGGAAUUGCAUUUGAAACUGGCAGGCUAGAGUCUUGUAGAGGGGGGUAGGAAUUUCAGGUGUAGCGGUGAAAUGCGUAGAGAUCUGAAGGAAUACCAGUGGCGAAGGCGGCCCCCUGGACAAAGACUGACGCUCAGAUGCGAAAGCGUGGGGAGCAAACAGGAUUAGAUACCCUGGUAG